Molecule: ribosomal RNA, 2871 nt
Filed under: Salmonella enterica subsp. enterica serovar Typhimurium
Lineage: Bacteria; Pseudomonadati; Pseudomonadota; Gammaproteobacteria; Enterobacterales; Enterobacteriaceae
Description: partial 23S ribosomal RNA
Rfam family: Bacterial large subunit ribosomal RNA
Source: RNAcentral
GGGUUGUGAGGUUAAGCGACUAAGCGUACACGGUGGAUGCCCUGGCAGUCAGAGGCGAUGAAGGACGUGCUAAUCUGCGAUAAGCGCCGGUAAGGUGAUAUGAACCGUUAUAACCGGCGAUUUCCGAAUGGGGAAACCCAGUGUGAUUCGUCACACUAUCAUUAACUGAAUCCAUAGGUUAAUGAGGCGAACCGGGGGAACUGAAACAUCUAAGUACCCCGAGGAAAAGAAAUCAACCGAGAUUCCCCCAGUAGCGGCGAGCGAACGGGGAGGAGCCCAGAGCCUGAAUCAGCAUGUGUGUUAGUGGAAGCGUCUGGAAAGGCGCGCGAUACAGGGUGACAGCCCCGUACACAAAAGCGCAUGUGCUGUGAGCUCGAUGAGUAGGGCGGGACACGUGGUAUCCUGUCUGAAUAUGGGGGGACCAUCCUCCAAGGCUAAAUACUCCUGACUGACCGAUAGUGAACCAGUACCGUGAGGGAAAGGCGAAAAGAACCCCGGCGAGGGGAGUGAAAAAGAACCUGAAACCGUGUACGUACAAGCAGUGGGAGCACCCUUCGGGGUGUGACUGCGUACCUUUUGUAUAAUGGGUCAGCGACUUAUAUUCUGUAGCAAGGUUAACCGUAUAGGGGAGCCGUAGGGAAACCGAGUCUUAACCGGGCGUUAAGUUGCAGGGUAUAGACCCGAAACCCGGUGAUCUAGCCAUGGGCAGGUUGAAGGUUGGGUAACACUAACUGGAGGACCGAACCGACUAAUGUUGAAAAAUUAGCGGAUGACCUGUGGCUGGGGGUGAAAGGCCAAUCAAACCGGGAGAUAGCUGGUUCUCCCCGAAAGCUAUUUAGGUAGCGCCUCGUGAAUUCAUCUCCGGGGGUAGAGCACUGUUUCGGCUAGGGGGCCAUCCCGGCUUACCAACCCGAUGCAAACUGCGAAUACCGGAGAAUGUUAUCACGGGAGACACACGGCGGGUGCUAACGUCCGUCGUGAAGAGGGAAACAACCCAGACCGCCAGCUAAGGUCCCAAAGUCAUGGUUAAGUGGGAAACGAUGUGGGAAGGCCCAGACAGCCAGGAUGUUGGCUUAGAAGCAGCCAUCAUUUAAAGAAAGCGUAAUAGCUCACUGGUCGAGUCGGCCUGCGCGGAAGAUGUAACGGGGCUAAACCAUGCACCGAAGCUGCGGCAGCGAACGUAUCACCCAAGACAACUUUACGGAGUUGACGAUUGACGGAGCGAAGCGACGUCAAAGCGUUCAUUAAAGUCGAGUUGGCUUAGGGAUACGUUCGUUGGGUAGGGGAGCGUUCUGUAAGCCUGUGAAGGUGUGUCGUGAGGCAUGCUGGAGGUAUCAGAAGUGCGAAUGCUGACAUAAGUAACGAUAAAGCGGGUGAAAAGCCCGCUCGCCGGAAGACCAAGGGUUCCUGUCCAACGUUAAUCGGGGCAGGGUGAGUCGACCCCUAAGGCGAGGCCGAAAGGCGUAGUCGAUGGGAAACGGGUUAAUAUUCCCGUACUUGGUGUUACUGCGAAGGGGGGACGGAGAAGGCUAUGUUGGCCGGGCGACGGUUGUCCCGGUUUAAGCGUGUAGGUGUGUGUUCCAGGUAAAUCCGGUUCACUUUAACACUGAGGCGUGACGACGAGGCACUACGGUGCUGAAGCAACAAAUGCCCUGCUUCCAGGAAAAGCCUCUAAGCAUCAGGUAACACGAAAUCGUACCCCAAACCGACACAGGUGGUCAGGUAGAGAAUACCAAGGCGCUUGAGAGAACUCGGGUGAAGGAACUAGGCAAAAUGGUGCCGUAACUUCGGGAGAAGGCACGCUGACACGUAGGUGAAGUGAUUUACUCAUGGAGCUGAAGUCAGUCGAAGAUACCAGCUGGCUGCAACUGUUUAUUAAAAACACAGCACUGUGCAAACACGAAAGUGGACGUAUACGGUGUGACGCCUGCCCGGUGCCGGAAGGUUAAUUGAUGGGGUCAGCGCAAGCGAAGCUCCUGAUCGAAGCCCCGGUAAACGGCGGCCGUAACUAUAACGGUCCUAAGGUAGCGAAAUUCCUUGUCGGGUAAGUUCCGACCUGCACGAAUGGCGUAAUGAUGGCCAGGCUGUCUCCACCCGAGACUCAGUGAAAUUGAACUCGCUGUGAAGAUGCAGUGUACCCGCGGCAAGACGGAAAGACCCCGUGAACCUUUACUAUAGCUUGACACUGAACAUUGAGCCUUGAUGUGUAGGAUAGGUGGGAGGCUUUGAAGUGUGGACGCCAGUCUGCAUGGAGCCGACCUUGAAAUACCACCCUUUAAUGUUUGAUGUUCUAACGUGGACCCGUAAUCCGGGUUGCGGACAGUGUCUGGUGGGUAGUUUGACUGGGGCGGUCUCCUCCUAAAGAGUAACGGAGGAGCACGAAGGUUGGCUAAUCCUGGUCGGACAUCAGGAGGUUAGUGCAAUGGCAUAAGCCAGCUUGACUGCGAGCGUGACGGCGCGAGCAGGUGCGAAAGCAGGUCAUAGUGAUCCGGUGGUUCUGAAUGGAAGGGCCAUCGCUCAACGGAUAAAAGGUACUCCGGGGAUAACAGGCUGAUACCGCCCAAGAGUUCAUAUCGACGGCGGUGUUUGGCACCUCGAUGUCGGCUCAUCACAUCCUGGGGCUGAAGUAGGUCCCAAGGGUAUGGCUGUUCGCCAUUUAAAGUGGUACGCGAGCUGGGUUUAGAACGUCGUGAGACAGUUCGGUCCCUAUCUGCCGUGGGCGCUGGAGAACUGAGGGGGGCUGCUCCUAGUACGAGAGGACCGGAGUGGACGCAUCACUGGUGUUCGGGUUGUCAUGCCAAUGGCACUGCCCGGUAGCUAAAUGCGGAAGAGAUAAGUGCUGAAAGCAUCUAAGCACGAAACUUGCCCCGA